RNAcentral lists this ribosomal RNA (429 nucleotides) under Verrucomicrobiota bacterium. RNAcentral's name for it is "Verrucomicrobia bacterium partial 16S ribosomal RNA". It matches the Rfam family "Bacterial small subunit ribosomal RNA", at positions 355 to 776 of the family's 1533-position model. Lineage: Bacteria; Pseudomonadati; Verrucomicrobiota. The record is from RNAcentral.
UAGGGAAUCUUCCGCAAUGGACGAAAGUCUGACGGAGCAACGCCGCGUGAGUGAAGAAGGAUUUCGGUUCGUAAAACUCUGUUGUUAGGGAAGAAAAAAUGUAUAGUAACUAUAUACAAAAGAGACGGUACCUAACCAGAAAGCCACGGCUAACUACGUGCCAGCAGCCGCGGUAAUACGUAGGUGGCAAGCGUUGUCCGGAAUUAUUGGGCGUAAAGCGCGCGCAGGUGGUUUAGAAAGUCUGAUGUGAAAGCCCACGGCUCAACCGUGGAGGGUCAUUGGAAACUAAUAAACUGGAGUGCAGGAGAGAAAAGUGGAAUUCCUAGUGUAGCGGUGAAAUGCGUAGAGAUUAGGAGGAACACCGGUGGCGAAAGCGGCUUUUUGGCCUGCAACUGACACUGAGGCGCGAAAGCGUGGGGAGCAAACAGG